UAGUAGUAGUUAUGUUCUUGAAAAUUAAAAGAGUUGGCGGUAUUUUAGUCUAUUCAGAGGAACCUGUUCUAUGAUUGAUGGUCCACGAGAUUUUUUACUUGAUUUAUUAGUUUACAUAUCGUCGUAGUUUGAAUAUUUUUUAAAAAUUUAAAUGUUCAAGAUUUUUUUACAUAAAGGAAUUCAGGUCAAGAUGUAGUUUAUAGUUAAGAAGAGAUGGGUUACAGUAGGAGUACUUAGACGAAUUAAGUUAUGAAAAUAUUUAUGAAGGCGGAUUUGAGGGUAAU
This 284-nucleotide ribosomal RNA is filed under the name Heteroglymma sp. 1 EMC-2007. RNAcentral's name for it is "partial 12S ribosomal RNA". Lineage: Eukaryota; Metazoa; Arthropoda; Insecta; Coleoptera; Curculionidae. The record is from RNAcentral.